AGAGUUUGAUCCUGGCUCAGGACGAACGCUGGCGGUGUGCUUAACACAUGCAAGUCGAACGGUAAGGCCCUUUUUGGGGUACACGAGUGGCGAACGGGUGAGUAACACGUGAGUAACCUGCCCUCAUCUCUGGGAUAACAGUCGGAAACGGUUGCUAAUACUGGAUAUGAGCUUGCAAGGCAUCUUGUGGGUUGGAAAGAUAUUUUUUGGUUGGGGAUGGACUCGCGGCCUAUCAGCUUGUUGGUGAGGUAGUGGCUCACCAAGGCUUCGACGGGUAGCCGGCCUGAGAGGGCGACCGGCCACAUUGGGACUGAGAUACGGCCCAAACUCCUACGGGAGGCAGCAGUGGGGAAUAUUGCACAAUGGACGGAAGUCUGAUGCAGCAACGCCGCGUGCGGGAUGACGGCCUUCGGGUUGUAAACCGCUUUCAAUUGUGACGAAGCUUUUUGUGACGGUAGCAGUAGAAGAAGCACCGGCUAACUACGUG
RNAcentral lists this ribosomal RNA (487 nucleotides) under uncultured Propionibacteriaceae bacterium. RNAcentral describes it as "bacterial SSU rRNA". It matches the Rfam family "Bacterial small subunit ribosomal RNA", at positions 8 to 507 of the family's 1533-position model. Lineage: Bacteria; Bacillati; Actinomycetota; Actinomycetes; Propionibacteriales; Propionibacteriaceae. The record is from RNAcentral.